UACGAAGGGGGCUAGCGUUGUUCGGAAUUACUGGGCGUAAAGCGCACGUAGGCGGACAUUUAAGUCAGGGGUGAAAUCCCAGAGCUCAACUCUGGAACUGCCUUUGAUACUGGGUGUCUUGAGUAUGGAAGAGGUGAGUGGAAUUCCGAGUGUAGAGGUGAAAUUCGUAGAUAUUCGGAGGAACACCAGUGGCGAAGGCGGCUCGCUGGUCCAUUACUGACGCUGAGGUGCGAAAGCGUGGGGAGCAAACAGG
Molecule: ribosomal RNA, 253 nt
Filed under: uncultured bacterium
Lineage: Bacteria
Description: partial 16S ribosomal RNA
Rfam family: Bacterial small subunit ribosomal RNA
Source: RNAcentral